AACGAACGCUGGCGGCAUGCCUAACACAUGCAAGUCGAACGAGACCUUCGGGUCUAGUGGCGCACGGGUGCGUAACGCGUGGGAACCUGCCCUUAGGUUCGGAAUAACUCCCCGAAAGGGGUGCUAAUACCGGAUAAUGUCUUCGGACCAAAGAUUUAUCGCCUUUGGAUGGGCCCGCGUUGGAUUAGCUAGUUGGUAGGGUAAAAGCCUACCAAGGCGACGAUCCAUAGCUGGUCUGAGAGGAUGAUCAGCCACACUGGGACUGAGACACGGCCCAGACUCCUACGGGAGGCAGCAGUGGGGAAUAUUGGACAAUGGGCGAAAGCCUGAUCCAGCAAUGCCGCGUGAGUGAUGAAGGCCUUAGGGUUGUAAAGCUCUUUUACCCGGGAUGACAAUGACAGUACCGGGAGAAUAAGCUCCGGCUAACUCCGU
RNAcentral lists this ribosomal RNA (432 nucleotides) under uncultured bacterium. Its description in RNAcentral is "partial 16S ribosomal RNA". It matches the Rfam family "Bacterial small subunit ribosomal RNA", at positions 29 to 506 of the family's 1533-position model. The record is from RNAcentral.